CAGCCGCCGCGGUAAUACGUAGGUGGCAGGCGUUGUCCGGAAUUAUUGGGCGUAAAGGGCUCGCAGGCGGUUUCUUAAGUCUGAUGUGAAAGCCCCCGGCUCAACCGGGGAGGGUCAUUGGAAACUGGGAAACUUGAGUGCAGAAGAGGAGAGUGGAAUUCCACGUGUAGCGGUGAAAUGCGUAGAGAUGUGGAGGAACACCAGUGGCGAAGGCGACUCUCUGGUCUGUAACUGACGCUGAGGAGCGAAAGCGUGGGGAGCGAACAGGAUUAGAUACCCCUGUAGUCCCUGUCUCUUAUAC
This 301-nucleotide ribosomal RNA is filed under the name uncultured bacterium. RNAcentral describes it as "partial 16S ribosomal RNA". It matches the Rfam family "Bacterial small subunit ribosomal RNA", at positions 509 to 807 of the family's 1533-position model. The record is from RNAcentral.